UGUCCGGCAGAUGGGAACAUCUCUCUCUUUCUAAAUUUUGACAGAUUUCACACUUGCCACAUC
Astatotilapia calliptera (eastern happy) is the source of this 63-nucleotide microRNA precursor. Lineage: Eukaryota; Metazoa; Chordata; Actinopteri; Cichliformes; Cichlidae. The record is from Ensembl.